Molecule: RNA transcript, 8817 nt
Organism: Scylla paramamosain (green mud crab)
Lineage: Eukaryota; Metazoa; Arthropoda; Malacostraca; Decapoda; Portunidae
Exons: 8
Source: RefSeq, a predicted model, not a curated record
AGCAUCCAUUUUUCCCUUGUUUUGUUUUGUCAUUUUAUUUUUAUUGUAUUUUCUUAUAUUAUUACAAGUCUCUGAAUAAUAAUUGUUUAUAGUAUAGAAAUUAAGAUGUUGCAGCUUUAGUGCUGUGACUUUUUAUUUGUUUAUUCAUUACCAUUAUUACUAUUGCUAUUAUUAUUGCUAUUAUUGUUACCAUUAUAAUUAUUACUAAUUAUUUAAUUCGUUCAUUCAUUUAUUUUCAUUAACUUGUUUCUUAACUCGUUUUGCAAAACUGCAUUACUAUCAAGGGAUCUUAAACUCAGCCAGUGAAUUGAAGGCAAGAAGCUCGGAACGAGGAUUUUAAAUAAAGUAAGAAAAUUGAGGAAACGGUAACGGCUUUGCUGCGUGAAAUAUGGCCCUCUCUGUCUCCUGCAGUCUUACGUAGAAAAAAGAAAAAAAACGUUAAUUGUGUGUUAUUUGAAAAGCUGUAAAUUCCUGUAACGAGGGCCUUGAUAUACAUGUAACCUUACAAGAGAGAUAAGGAAAAAAAAAAAAAAGUUGAGUGCGUAGUCGUCUGGGGAAAUUGCGUGAGACAAGCUCGGGACUACCCAGACUGAGUGCAACCAUCCUCGCUGCUCCGGCUCCUGGCGAGGUGCGUAGUGGUGGCUGGCCGGAUAUUAAUUCCUUCUCACUUCAGUAACAUCCUCCAUUGUUCAGCUCACCACUCGUACACAGUCAGUUCCGACGGGUUAGCAAAAUGCCAGUCCCUGGAGAAAAUGAACUCUCAUAGAUUUUGAAUAAACUGAUUUUGCUGUACAUGUCAUGGUUGUAUUGAAAAAUCUAAGGAGUUUGUCGAAAUCAGAAGAAUUAUGUACUACACAAUUAUGCAAAUAAAGUAAUUAUACGUAUUAGUACAAGAUAACCUCUCUCUCUCUCUCUCUGCAGUGCUUACGUAAUGAUGUCGACUCUCUUAAAUCAGUCAAGGCCUGAAAAAUCAUUAAGAGAGAUCAGCGGUUUCAGGAAAGUUAUUAAUUUGUAACAGUGCGCUUUGGUUUCAAUUUGGGCGGCACUGUAGCUCGUGAUGUGGAUGGAUGGGAUUGGUUAGGUACAGUACAUUUCCUGAUUGACAGUCUUCUUUCCUUGGGUAUAAACAAAAUCACUGACACUAGCAGAAAAAAAAAAUCAUUCAGGAUAAAUUAUAAAAAAUAACAAUAAAAAAAAAAAAAAAUUAAGUGGUAUGAGCUAGCACUGUCCUGAGAUAUACUUACUCGUUGAGAGUAUCGAACAUUUGUUCCGAAAUCCCAACCAGAAUCGAACACAGGAAGGCGAGGAAGGAACACCUGCCAGUUGUUGCUUUACCUACCAAAACUGCUAAAGACGCAGAUGUGGCCGUUACUUUGAUGCUGGGUGGCCAUUUCCUUAUUGAAAUUGAAGAACCAGGCUGAUGCUACUCCUGACUCUACUGCUGUCCCGUGUUCCAAGGAGCAAAGAGCUAAUGUUGAAGAUUCUGUGAAAGUAAACAACCAAUGGAGUUAUUCCAGAAAGCCGCCAGAGGCUGAGCCUAGAUAGUGACUUAUGGUGUUGGGGUGACACUCCCAUGCAGAAUGACAGAUUGUGUUCUCAUGGCCCACCUUCAUGAGGAACAGCACCACACACAAAGAGUUAAGUGAGGUCAAAUUUAGUUUUGAAUAUAGUAUAGUUUGUAUUGCCAGAUCCACGGUGCAGCACCUGACUGAUAUGAUCAUUCUCUUUGUGAUCAUUGUUACAGUUAUUCAUUGUUUAUGUUCUCCAACUAAACAAUCAUACAUUUUAUUACUAAGCAAUUCAUUUACUUAAGUGAGCUGUGAAAUUGACAGGAUGUUGAAAAGGUGAAUCGUUAUAUUUCUAAGUAUUUAGACCGGCAAAGGAUUGGUUUGGUUUACUGCUCCACCUUGUCAUUCUUAUGUUGUGCACUUUUGAGUUGCGAUGCCCUCCUUGGUGGGUUCUGUAGCAGAGUCUGGUGUCACCCAACUACUGAAUGUGAGGUAGUAGGACUACAUCUUGGUCCUGUGGUAAGAAGUGGAAUAAUGCUUGUCACUGAGGUGUUUCUCCACAUUUCCGUUAAGAUUUUAUUUAGAAUAGGUGGUCAAGUGCAGCAAGUUUGGUAUUUGUACAUUUUUUUGUUAUCCAUACAUAAUUUGCAUACAAUAUGUCUUCUGUUAUAUCUGUAGAGUAAAUGCUUAAUAAUAUGGCAAUACUUGGACAUUACAUACAAACAACUCAGAGUAAUUAAAUAUUGCAAGAGAAAUUAAAGUAUUGAACAUGUCUCCUACUUUGUUUCAUUAAUUUUUUACUGUUGAUGGAGUCCCAUGGUGAGUUCCCAUCAGCUUGACAACCAGUACAUUGGUAGUUACAGUACACAGGUGAACACUGAGCGAGCAGUUCCACAUAUCACUUAUCACCACAAGACCAAGUUCCUUGUAUGAUGCAGAUUGGGUGGUGAACCAGCAUUGCAGAAAAUGCAAAGGAAACCAUAUGGUACAACAACCCAUUAACUGUUUGCUGCUGCUGCCACCUUACUCUAGUCUAUAUAUAUAUGACAUAUGCAUAUGUUACAAUGUGUUACAUAAAGAUAUACCUACUGUACAUGUAUGAUUAGUGUUAUUGCUCUACAACACAAGGGGACUCGUAAAACACUGAUCUAAACCGUAUUACCUAGCAUUACUGAAGCACGCUGCUAGUGCCAUCUUACGGCAGCUUCAUCAUUAUAUCUCCCUAGCUAAUUUGUGCUUCGGCUAGGCAGGGAACUGCAUCCCCAGUCCCCUUAGCCUCAAGAUCUCCUGAAGCACUCACUUUUGCUCUUUCUCUCACACUCUCAUUCACUCUUACUCUCCCAUCAGACUAGUGCAGGGCCACUCACCUGCUAAAUGACUGCUAUUAUGUACUUUAUUUUUUUGGGGGGGUAUGGUUAAUAACAGUAGUCAUGCAACAGGGGGAUGCCGUAAGUCCUUCAGAAAUAUAAAGAUAUAUUUGUGUCCUUAAAAUUGUCUUUUUGGAAAACUCCAGAAAUGAGUACAAUGUUAAACUUUUAUUUAAGUGCACUUGACCUAUCCUCACAGAAGUCACGUUUUUCAAGAACCACCAUCAAAUACAAUCUCAUGAAAUAUGUAUCUCGGCCAGUAGUACUUUACUUCAUGCACCAAAUUUGGUUUUAACACUUGGACCCACAAUUUAUUUGAUGAAACACAAGAAUACAAUUUUGUUAUUAGAGAUUUUUAAAAACAAAAAUAUAAUUUUGUCAUUGGAGAUUUUUAAAAAGAAAAAGGACAAAAAUAUCACAUGCUUUAAUGUAUAGUAUUAUGUUUUAAUUUGUCUUUUUCCAUUUCUUUCAGCUGAGAUCCAUGAAAUGCUAUUUUGGUCACAAAUGCAGCUCAGUCCACUCUGCCACCUGCAUGUCAAACCUGGCAGGCAGGUGUGGCAGGAGUACCGGGGCUUCCUACACAAGAGUAAAGUGGAUGAAUUGGCCCCGUUCUGGCGUUGGCCGAGGGGCGCAGGGCUGGGGCGUGGUGCUUGUGGUGCCCUGGCUGGUGGGUACUGCAGAGGUAGGGGUUGCCUCACCAGUACUGCUGCUCAGGGAUGGGGGAGCAGAAGGAGCGUGCUAGGGAGGACAGGAUCGACAACACUGCCGUUGGUAACUCUGGAUGCGACACAUGUUCAUCCUCUUGACAAUGUUGCAGUAUUUGCUUCGAUCGCGACAACCCUUCACUUCCUGGCUGUCGUCUUCACCUGUGUGGGAAGACAACUCCUAUCUCAGCACCACUCUACCUGGCGACCUCUCUUGGCCCGAGUUCCUGACUUGGUGACCAGCACUUCACAUUACAUACUGAGGUCUGGGCAGGGGUCACCAUUGCACCAGCGGACCACCUCAGGACGUGGCAGUUCCCUGCAGGCAUUCCCAGCAGCUUUCUUGGUCCCAUUCCACACACACUGAAGAAGACGUGUGCGAUAUCCCUGCCCACCACACGGGGCGGUGCACUGCAACAGUCACCGACGCGCCACACUCCUGAACACUGGUAGUUGUAGCACUCCUGUCGGUGCCGAGGCCGCGUCCGGUUGUCACACUGCAGGUUGCUGACAAUGGUGCCAUUGUGCAGCUUACACACCACCUCCCGCCGCUGGUAGGCUGAGGCUCAGGCUUACCAUAGUGGAGGGUGAAGCAGCGAGAGGAUUCGCACUCUGACCACCCCCCAAAGUGCCACUGUGGGCAUUCUGUGAAGCCGCACCGCUGGAUGGUGACUGGUGCCUCCAGGCCAGCAUCUACACAGAGGGCACCAUCCACUGGUGAUGUCACAUUCUUCACUCUGGCAAGGCACUGGAUGGACCUCACCUAUAAUGUUUUGGCCAAAAAUGAAUGCCUUCCACUAAAUAUUUGCAGUUAUCCUUAAAGAAAAGUUUGGAAAUUAAGUUUUCUCAGAAACCACGACGAUAAUUUCAAUUCUCAGAAACCAUAAAUAUAAUUUUGAAAUGUAUUAUGCACCAUUCUGAAAACAAAAUGAGAAAACAUCUUAAAGAAAUGGAACCAGAGCAGGUUAGAUUCUGUUUUAAAGAAAAUAUUUGUCACUGACCUGGUAGCCGCUGCUGCUGCUGGUGAAGCCACAGGUCUGAGAACACUCAGACCAAUUAGUCAUCUGCCACUCAAACUCCAGUGAGUCUCUUGUUCCUGAGAGUAAUACAAAUUAACUUUAGCUGUAAUCCCUCUCACCACAAUAUUCAAUAUAUGCAUGCAAGUGCAGCAAAGAUAUGAAGAAAAGGUUCCUAAUGAAGAGACAAAUCAGCAUAUCUUGCUUCACCUUUGCCCAGAAUGUCUCCUUUGCCAUGUGGGUCUCGUGUUGUGUUGUCAUCCUGCACAAACCCAUGAGACGACAUCCUGUUGUUGAACUCGUCCAUGGGAGAGUCCAUGUGCCUGGCACCCCGGGAGCUGAUGGUGCCCUGGAGGGAGGCCGGAAGGAAGCUCUGUGUCCACAUUAGUGAAAUCAAACGUGAAGCAAGGAGGGAAAUCCUAAACAUAUUACUAGUCCUCUUGUUCAUAACAUCUCUUACUUCUAAGGUUGGUUGUGUUUUGAAUGUGAAAAUUAUGUUCAUGCCCUCUGCAGCAUCUAUUCUUAAUAAUGAUGACUCUUUCCCUCCAAGGGUGUGGUACUGACUCGAGAUACCCAGCUGUGCCUUUCAUGCAAAUACUCCUCACUUCCCACACUCGUCUCAUUCCUCUUGCUUAGAAAUGUGCACAUUUCACAGACCAUUUAUGAACAUUCAUGGAAAGAAAAAACUGCAUGAUACUCUACUAUAAUGAAAAUUAAACAACACUUCAUGCUGUCUAUCAGUAAAGCUACAAGAACAAGUUUUUUCAGUAUUCUUGCCUGGCAUUCCUUUGUUAAUCUUCUUAUACUACAACUCGAUGCAUACAAUCUUAUGGAUGAGCAGCAAAAUACUUGAGAUACAGCUAGAGGUGGCAUAUCAUGUGAUACUUUGCUGUAGGAUUUAGUCUCCUUAAGUUAAAAUGAAAUGAAAUUAAACCAUAUACCAUACACUUAAGGUCCUUUAAAAUACAUGAAAAAUAUUUAUUCAUGGUAAAAAUGAAAUGUGCAAAGAAAGUGGCGGACUCAGCAAAAUGCCACAUGAUGGGUAAUGUGUUGCUGGUGGUGACAGGUGCUUGCUCAGUAACUUUGAUGACUGCAUUAAGAAUUAAGAUUUUUAUUAUACCAACUGCUUAUGGUGAUCAUAAGAAUUUGUCAAUCAUCAGUAUGCUUCACUAUCUAGUUGAUAUUUUGUAAUUUGCACACACUGUAGUACACAAUUAGUACAAUCAUGAGUGGUGAAAGCAAGCUUCUUUGUUACAUUUUUUCUAAUAUACAUGAUCAUCAAUCUGUAAAGCAAGCAAAAUUUUUCUUUUAUCUGACAAUUAUUGUAAUAUAUGAAGUUGCCAGUCUUGAAUUUUCACACUGAAAAGCAAAAUAUUAAACAUUUUUCAAUCAAAUAUCAUCAAUCAAAUAUUACCUUUUGUCUUCACACCUAAUAAAAUUACGGACCAAUUUUUUUUAGAUUCGCCCUGUGAAAUGAAGCCUCUGUUGUAUUAAUAUACAUGUGAAAAUAAAAAUUCAAAACCUCAUCAAAGCUAUGGAUGGGUAAACUGCAAUACAUGAGCCUGGCAGUUAUAAACUAGUCCUGCAAAUAACACUUCAGAAACAACCUAAAAAUAAGUAGGUGAAUGUAUAACAGGAGUUUUUUUGUUCAACCCUAGAGCAAACAGUUACACAUGCAAGCAGACAGCAGUAGCAAAGCUCCCAACAUAGAGGAAUGCCCAUAAGCACCAGACUAAAUUGCUAGCAGUGGAUUUUCCGGAACUGCACACAUACAAAGCGUUCAUUAGAAUAAGGCUUAUUAAAAGACAUGCAAUAUACACUAGUAUUAAGAGGGGCAGCACCAUGGGAGUUAUUGUUGGAAACCUUUACAAAAGACUUGCAAAGACAGUCAAAAUGCCUCAUUCUGGACUCAACAAAGAUUGAAGGUAAAUCCUAGUUAGUAUGCAAGUCAUUCUAUUUUGAUGUGUUUAUCCUUGAAGCAGCUUGAUUAAUGUGAUGUAGAUGAAGUCCCUAAUUGUUGUGGUUCAUACAUCUUGCCCAUUCCAGUGCAGGAGUUGGAAUACAAGUAAAUGUAUAAGGUAGGCUUAUUCCUCAUAUUAUGCAGUGGUUAAGUGUAACUUGGAUAAAAUUUUAUCCAUGAAAUUAAUGCUUGUUUUUUCCUUAUUGAGGAUGGGGCAGUUAAUUUCAUGAAGCUAGCAUGUGCAGGCCCCUCAAAUCCUCCCAGGCCUCACCUCCAAGUUGGAAAGAAGCUUCUGGAAGGGAGGAACAGUGCGGGAACCUCCAGAGCUGGUGUUGGGGGGUGCUGGGGUCAGGGAAAGGGAGACUCCAUGGCGCCUUUGAGGGGUGCCAGUGGGGGUGCGGUGGAGAUGGUGGUUGUUGUGGUGGUGGUUGUGGUGGUGGUGCUGAUGACCAUGGUGGUCCAAGGUGGUGGUGGUGGUGGUGGUGGAAGUGGUAGAGGUGGAGUGCACAGUGGGAGAACUAUCGGAGGUAGGAUUGGGUCUUCGGUCUGUGUCGUGACCAGGGCUCUGGGUGUCACCAUGGCUGUGGUGGAACUGAGACCCCAGCCUGGGACGUGACCAGGAGGAGGAGGGAAGGUGGUUCUGGAUGGGGAAGGGGUGGAAGAGGAAUACCAUGCAGUGAGAGAAGGGCACAAUAAGAGAGGGAAGCAAGUCAAGUGGAGGUCACUCUGGAACCACAACUUUAAAGAAAACUGUACAAAAAGAUCACUAGGUAAAAAUAGAUAAAAAACACUCACCCACAAGGUAAAGCAUAACAUUGCAGAUAAAAUACAUACUACAAAAGGGUGUAGCUUUAUGGGAUAUGUCCAGUACUGAGAAGUAAGCUCUGUGGUAAUAGUAUUGAGGAAUCCAAGGAAAAAUGAUACCUUGAAGGUAUAUGAAGAAGUAAAGCUUUGUGUGUCAUAGAUAAAACAACAGCUGCUUAGAAACAGAAAUACCAUUGUUCAGGGAUUCAAAAGCUGAAAUGAUCCUGUAAAGGCAAAAAGGCAGAGUAUUUUCCAUGUAAAAGUGUGUAGGUAAAGCAAGCGUUUUGAGUAUUUGAGACAAACCAUUCAAGAAAGGUGUGUUCCAAGACAAUACCUAACCCUGCAGAGCCACAAAAUUUGCUGACAAACAAUUCAGAAACCAAUCUGAUGAAAGUACAAGUAUGAAAAUAUUGACCUUAACUAUUCAAAAUCAAGCACAAAAAAACAAUAACAAUUACUCUGCAACAUUAACAUUUACGUCAUGGAUACGUCUUCUACAAAAAAGACGACCCAACAUUACACUUUCAUUGCUCACAGUGAAAUAUAUCCUGCCUGGCUGGAACACAAGAGGUCUGCUGAAGAACACCUACACUCCUACAGAGAUGAGACACACCACAUGCACCAACACAAUGUGCACUUACCUCGGAUGACUCAGGCCUUGUGUAGUCAGGGAGAUUGGGAAAGAUUAUGCAUUAGAAAAGCAACUAUUGGAGGACUAAAUCUCACCUCAAAGAUCUGCGUCCCGUCUUCCCAUUUUCUUCUUCUGGAGUGCUCUGUCCCUGGCAGCAUGUUGUGCCGAACUGUGCCAUACACUAUUUGGUUCUCCUCACUGGUGAUCCGUGAAGUAUUACUGAGGAAGGAAGACACACUGCAGUCAGCUGACAUGUCUUACUGUUGAUGUAUACAAGUCUUGCACCUCACAAUAAUUCCUGCAUGACUUUUUCAACAUUACCUUAUUGAUGUAAUUUUACAGGAUGAAUAUCAUUAUUUAUUUAUCACAUUUUGCUUUAUGAGCAAUGUGGUACAAGGGAAUGGACAGGAAAAAACCUUACAUAUAUAGUCUUAACUGAUCAUAACCAUUCCUACAUCACUAUUUUUCAACAUCACAUCUGCUGAGAGUAAUAAUGCAAUUUACAGACAAAAAAAUAAGGAAUUAAUUCAUCACAUUCUGCCUUUAUCACAUUCUUCCCUUUAAAGAAGGGAAUAGACAGCAAACUUGAACUUUCAUUUCACCAACCUGUGGAGAUUGACGGUCCCAUACACAGGAGGCCUUUCCUCUCUGGUGCCCUUGGAGGUGGAGCUGUGGCGCGGUCGGCCAGUGAGAGGCCAGCCACCAUGGUUGAUGGUGGCAUACACGUAGUCCUGCUUGGGGGUGGAACGCCAGAUGGGGGCAUCAUAUGUGUUAGUUGCCUCACUGCUACUCACCUCUACUGUGUGCAUGUUUUUGCUAGAUGCCUA